This 286-nucleotide unclassified non-coding RNA is filed under the name uncultured fungus. RNAcentral describes it as "partial contains 5.8S ribosomal RNA, internal transcribed spacer 2, and large subunit ribosomal RNA". The stretch from base 1 to 52 matches the Rfam family "5.8S ribosomal RNA", at positions 103 to 154 of the family's 154-position model. The record is from RNAcentral. Lineage: Eukaryota; Fungi.
AACGCACAUUGCGCCCUUUGGUAUUCCGAAGGGCAUGCCUGUUCGAGCGUCAUUUCAAACCUCAAGCUUCUGCUUGGUAUUGAGCGCUCGCCCUCUACCCACAGAGGGCGUGCUCGAAACUCAUGGGCGGUGAUGUCCAGCGUCGCAGCGUAUUCGUAACACAAUCUCGCUACCGACACCUCCUGGACAACUCACCCGCCUGGCAAGCGGCUUGCUGCCGUCAAAAAGCAGCACCACUUCUUCAAGGUUUGACCUCGGAUCAGGUAGGAAUACCCGCUGAACUUAA